RNAcentral lists this ribosomal RNA (440 nucleotides) under Alexandrium tamarense. Its description in RNAcentral is "partial Bacterial large subunit ribosomal RNA". It matches the Rfam family "Bacterial large subunit ribosomal RNA", at positions 594 to 1035 of the family's 2925-position model. Lineage: Eukaryota; Dinophyceae; Gonyaulacales; Pyrocystaceae. The record is from RNAcentral.
UGACUGCGUACCUUUUGUAUAAUGGGUCAGCGACUUAUUGUCUGUAGCAAGCUUAACCGUUUAGGGGAGGCGUAGGGAAACCGAGUCCGAAUAGGGCGAUUUAGUCGUCAGGCGUAGACCCGAAACCGGAUGAUCUACUCAUGGCCAGGUUGAAGGCAAGGUAACACUUGCUGGAGGACCGAACCCACUAGUGUUGCAAAACUAGGGGAUGAGCUGUGGGUAGGGGUGAAAGGCUAAUCAAACUGGGAAAUAGCUCGUACUCCCCGAAAUGCAUUUAGGUGCAGCGUUGGGAAGAGUGUUAUGGAGGUAGAGCUACCAAUAGGGCUAGGGGGCUUCACCGCCUACCAACCCCUGAUGAACUCCGAAUGCCAUAACAUUGCACCAGCAGUGAGGGCUUGGGUGAUAAGGUCCAAGUCCGAGAGGGAAAGAACCCAGACCAU